Molecule: long non-coding RNA, 1254 nt
Filed under: Sus scrofa (pig)
Lineage: Eukaryota; Metazoa; Chordata; Mammalia; Artiodactyla; Suidae
Description: lncRNA (ENSSSCG00070009275.1)
Source: RNAcentral
UCCAUCCACUGCGCAGAUUCCAGCACCCGAGGCGCCGGCGACCUGCGUUCUGGCUUUGGAAUAGCCGGGCACCUUCUCCUCACAACAUUCCCGCAACAUUUCUGCACUUUGCGUGAAUCUGACCCGGGCCUCCAGCUUCCCCUUCCCUGCUCGCAGCUAGAAGAGUCGGAGUGGCAACUGGAGCGUCUGGUGGGAGAAGUGGGUCGGUCCCCCGCCUGCCGGCCAGGGCUGUUGCCGCGACCCCAUCUCCAAACCAAGCAGUCAGAGACCUCCGGGCGGAGUGCGAGGCCGGUGACUUACACGCCAUCCCCGCAGUCCCGCGCCUUCCCGCCUCCGCCCCCGCCACCUCUAGGUCUCCUCUGGUCCUCGAGCGCAAAGCUAGGGCCCGAGUGGGGAAGGGAAGUAAGGCAACAACGCGUGUACGAGGGUGUGACACACAGCAGCCAGGCGUGCAGGACCCCGCCUCUCGCCGAACUCCCGCCUCGGACCAGCCCGAGCCCGGCGCUCCAGGGCUCCCUGCUCCGGGACAAAGCUGCCACGGCCUCUUCGCCAGCGCCGGGCGCGUUGUCGCCCGCUCUCCUCAGGGUCCCCGGCCGCGACUCCGUCCCAAAGGGCCUCGGCUCCGCCCGGGGGACAGAGAGAUCUCCCGGCCCCGCGCCCCCGCCGCAGCUCACCUGUUCAGCACUUUGCGGAUCCUCUGGCGCACGCCGGCCCGGGAGGAGGCAGAGAGGCUUCCGCCGCCGCCGCUGCCCUCAGCCGGCAGGUUCUCGAUGGUGGUCACCACAUGGUUCGGCGGGGCCGGCGGCGGCGGCUGCAGCUGCUGCUGCUGCGGCUCUGGGGGGAUCAUCUUGGCGGAGGCGGCGGCGCGGCGGCGAUCAGAAGGCGGCCGGACGCAUCGUGCGCCGGCUCCGGGCCCGGGAACGCGCGGAGGACCCGGCUAGGCGGCCGCGGCCCGGGGAGGCGGUGCUGCUGGCCAAGCGGCGAGGUGGGGAGGCACCCGCGGCUACGGCCGCCGCCGCCACCCAGCCGGCCACUCACUCCUCUCCAGUCCCAGACCACGCACCCCCUCGCCGCCGCUGCCGCCGCCGCCUCCCGCCCGGGCUCUUCUCGAGCCGCGUCCCCAAGUCCUGGCACGCCCCGCGAAGUGGCUGUGAAGGGUGUCGCGCGGGGGCGCCGAGCGGCCCGUCGGCUCGGGAGACCCUCACGAAGAGAAAGGAUGGGGCUCCGGGCUUCCCCUUCUCUCCCAGUGCCUAG